AACGCGAGAGGGGCUUCGGCCCUGAUUGAGUGGGCGAACGGGUGAGAGUAACACGUGGGUGAUCUACCUUCGAGUGGGGGAUAACGUUCCGAAAGGAACGCUAAUACCGCAUGACGUAUCUGGGUUUGAAGACCUGGAAACCAAAGCUAGGGGACCUGCAAGGCCUGGCGCUUGGAGAGGAGCCCUGCUGUCCGAUUAGCUAGUUGGCGGGGUAACGGCCCACCAAGGCGACGAUCGGUAAGCCGGCCUGAGAGGGCGGACGGCCACACUGGGACUGAGACCACGGCCCAGACUCAAAACGGGAGGCAGCAGGGGGGAAUUGUCGCAAAUGGGCGCAAGCCUGACGACGCAACGCCGCGUGGGGGAUGAAGGUCUCCGGAUUGUAAACCCCUGUCGAGCGGGACGAACGGCCUACGAUUGAACAGAUCGUAGGAGUGACGGUACCGUUAAAGGAAGCCCCGGCUAACUCCGUGCAGCAAGCCGCGGUAAAUACGGGGGGGGCAAGCGUUGU
RNAcentral lists this ribosomal RNA (511 nucleotides) under uncultured bacterium. Its description in RNAcentral is "bacterial SSU rRNA". It matches the Rfam family "Bacterial small subunit ribosomal RNA", at positions 65 to 544 of the family's 1533-position model. The record is from RNAcentral.